Molecule: long non-coding RNA, 414 nt
Organism: Myotis myotis
Lineage: Eukaryota; Metazoa; Chordata; Mammalia; Chiroptera; Vespertilionidae
Exons: 4
Source: RefSeq, a predicted model, not a curated record
GACCUAGUGAGGAUCUGCACACAUAUUUUGUCCUCAAAAAUUCUUUGUGGAAUGAAUGAAAGAAAAUUCCCACCAUUAAACAUGUUGGAGUCUGGAAUUCCCACAACACAGAACAGUUUGCCAGUGCUGCCUGGGCCUGUGACCGUCAAGGUUAGACCUGGGGUUCAAGGACUUACAGAUGGAAGUGAAUGCUCCUUCCUUUGAUGGUCCCCCCGCACCACCAGGGGAGGCAGAACAGACUUUUCAUAGGCUCUGAGUAUGAAGGUGUAUGAAGGCAAGGACAGCAUCCUGUACUCCUACUGUUUUCCAAUGGGGAUGCAUUUGCACAAGAAAGCUGAGCAAGGCUGUCCUCUGCCUACUGAGCUGAUACCCCUUCCUCGGCUGCAGCCUAAUGUAAACGGUGAGGAAAAGACG